CCUACGGGAGGCAGCAGUGGGGAAUUUUGGACAAUGGGCGCAAGCCUGAUCCAGCAAUGCCGCGUGAGUGAAGAAGGCCUUCGGGUUGUAAAGCUCUUUUGUCAGGGAAGAAACGGUGGGGGCUAAUAUCUCCUACUAAUGACGGUACCUGAAGAAUAAGCACCGGCUAACUACGUGCCAGCAGCCGCGGUAAUACGUAGGGUGCAAGCGUUAAUCGGAAUUACUGGGCGUAAAGCGUGCGCAGGCGGUUUUGUAAGUCUGUCGUGAAAGCCCCGGGCUCAACCUGGGAAUUGCGAUGGAGACUGCAAGGCUUGAAUCUGGCAGAGGGGGGUAGAAUUCCACGUGUAGCAGUGAAAUGCGUAGAGAUGUGGAGGAACACCGAUGGCGAAGGCAGCCCCCUGGGUCAAGAUUGACGCUCAUGCACGAAAGCGUGGGGAGCAAACAGGAUUAGAUACCCUGGUAGUCCACGCCCUAAACGAUGUCUACUAGUUGUCGGGUUUUAAUUAACUUGGUAACGCAGCUAACGCGUGAAGUAGACCGCCUGGGGAGUACGGUCGCAAGNUUAAAACNCAAAUGAAUUGACCGGNUGAGAGUGCGAGACGACGACGAGGAGGAGG
This 617-nucleotide ribosomal RNA is filed under the name uncultured bacterium. RNAcentral's name for it is "bacterial SSU rRNA". It matches the Rfam family "Bacterial small subunit ribosomal RNA", at positions 338 to 947 of the family's 1533-position model. The record is from RNAcentral.